GUUCAAACAAGUAGGCGUAGUAAUAUCUUCGGCUGCCCUACAUAAUUCCACAUGGCUUCGCUUCCGUCGACCGGAGGAAGCCCGGCGGCGAUGGCGAACAAACUCCACCGCUUGUUGACCAUCCCAUGGAAGCGUGAGAUCGCGCAGCCGGGAUUAGGGCUAGGGUUGAGGUUUCCGGGCGCGAGGUCCCUUGCGUCUUCCGUUCCAACGCCGGAAGAGGCAGCUCGAUUCGCUCCCUCUCCUACCCCGUCCAAGCCGGAAGUGGAGGAGGAAGACUCGGCCUCGACGAAAGGGGAAGAAGGCACCACGGUGGAGGAAGAGGACGAUGGCGUCCACACGAACAAGCUCACCGGCGAGGUCGGCGGGCCGAAGGGCCCCGAGCCUACGCGGUACGGCGAUUGGGAGCGCGGAGGCCGCUGCUCAGACUUCUAGUUACUUGAAUCAACAAGGCACAUUGAAUAAACAAAGGAGGCCAGACAUGGAGUCAUCAAAUAGAUUGCCUCAUCUAGUGUAAGUCCUGCUUAAAUGCGAUGUCACGACUCCGGUCUUGACGUGGUGUAAGCCCUGUUUAUUUAAAGGCAAAUAGACUCUUGUAGCAGUUUUUGCAAGAACAAGUCACUAAACUGAAUGAUGUCCCAUCAGCAUUGAAUAAUUUCAAUAUUUUUAUUAAUGUAAUUGGUAGAUACUGAAUUUUGUCCA
Molecule: RNA transcript, 699 nt
Organism: Musa acuminata subsp. malaccensis (wild Malaysian banana)
Lineage: Eukaryota; Viridiplantae; Streptophyta; Magnoliopsida; Zingiberales; Musaceae
Source: RefSeq, a predicted model, not a curated record